This is a non-coding RNA of Schizosaccharomyces pombe (fission yeast), 1451 nucleotides long. The record is from the annotation of a GenBank genome assembly. Lineage: Eukaryota; Fungi; Ascomycota; Schizosaccharomycetes; Schizosaccharomycetales; Schizosaccharomycetaceae.
CGUUGAAUGUUUAUAUGUGUAACUGUCAGUUUGAUGAAGUUGAAACAUCCGACCUUGUGUAGAGUAUGCCUUCUUCCUAUAUCUGAGUUUAUGAAUUCACAUUGAUUUAAAAAACUUGUUGAAUUGAAAAGACAAAGGCUAGCCCAAAAAAUCUUUCUUGUGAUUAUUUUUUUUUUCUUCAACAUAUGCAACGGGUUAAUAUCAAAUUAUAAGUUUCGUACCUACAUAACAUCGAAAAAGAACUAAAUAUAAUAAAAAAUGAUUGUUUAAUUCUAUAAACUCAAGUUAAUUGCAAGUUACCUUCAACAGUUUACGCAUUAGGGCAAUAAAUAUUUACAAAGAACCAUUAUAAUUUAAGGUAUGAAAAAAACAAAAAUGGAGGUCUCAGUGAUGACCAAUUUAGAUUUUUCCGUUUAGUUUAUCUACUAAAAUUUUAUGUCCCCGAGCCUAAAAUGAACAACCUCAAGUUGGUCUACCUCUUUACGAAAUCUAUAUUAGUCCAACGAAGGCUUUUCUGACCCAUUUUAUUUUAUCACCGAUAUUUUCGAAAUAAAACGAUAAAAAUGGCGAAUAUUUCUAUGAGUUUACAGCUUUUUCAUAUUACUGUUUUAUGGCUAUCUUAGGAAAGUUUAUCUAUUCUACCAUAUACUUUCAUUAUUCAAGUAUAAUUACAACAUUAACAUUUAGUUUAUUGCGACUUUUUGAAUUUAUCUGAUUUCGAUAACUUUUUUAUUGCCCCUUUAAUAAGGUAUGGGUAAGCAAACAAUGCUUUUCAAAAACUUUUUGCAAUUUCUUUUUAUAAAUGUCAGUCCUUAUUAGGGGUUUAUUUUUUUGUUCCUUUUUUUCCUUUCUUUUUUUUUUUUGACAAAAUUUCUUGUAAAUGUUAUCAGUAAAGCAGGCAAAUUGUUCUUGAGACAUAAGAAGGUUGAUUAAACUACACUUGCAUCCAAAAUUCCUCACGACAUCCGUGUAGCCCACUACGUUUACCAAAGCCUCCUCUCCCAUGACGACCACAAAAUCCACCUCGACCAGCACCUCUACCUCUAGAAUGGCCAUCAAAUUUACCUCCAAAAUGGUUUGGCCUAUGAGGGUACCAGUCAAAAUAAUCACCAACAUUUGGAUGAAAACCUAAGGCUUCACAAGGUAAAGCUGCUCUCCUAUGAGGUAGACCAUGUGGUAAAUCUUGCGCUAAGAAUGCGUGAGGAUUUUUAGGGAAUUCAGAACGAUGUAGGCAAGCUCUGCUUUCUCUAUCGAAUUCAUCAUGAAAACGCGUGUCACUGAAAGGUAUUUCACUUUCUCUGUUAUCAUUGUCUAAUUUUUUGUGCUCUUUUUUUGUUGUUAAAAGUUCGUUAAUAAAUAAAGUUAAAUCUGGUUUCGUUUCAAUUUGACCUUGUUGAAAAGAGGUUGUAGCUGAUGCUUUUGAUGUAUCAUUCAAUCCUAGCAAGUAUACU